Molecule: ribosomal RNA, 301 nt
Filed under: uncultured bacterium
Lineage: Bacteria
Description: partial 16S ribosomal RNA
Rfam family: Bacterial small subunit ribosomal RNA
Source: RNAcentral
CAGCAGCCGCGGGAAUACGUAGGGUGCAAGCGUUAAUCGGAAUUAUUGGGCGUAAAGCGAGUGCAGACGGUUACUUAAGCCAGAUGUGAAAUCCCCAAGCUUAACUUGGGACGUGCAUUUGAAACUGGGUGACUAGAGUGUGUCAGGGGGAGGUAGAAUUCCACAUGUAGCGGUGGAAUGCGUAGAGAUGUGGAGGAAUACCGAUGGCGAAGGCAGCCUCCUGGGAUAACACUGACGUUGAGGCUCGAAAGCGUGGGGAGCAAACAGGAUUAGAGACCCCUGUAGUCCCUGUCUCUUAUAC